Molecule: ribosomal RNA, 237 nt
Filed under: Dolichomastix tenuilepis
Lineage: Eukaryota; Viridiplantae; Chlorophyta; Mamiellophyceae; Dolichomastigales; Dolichomastigaceae
Description: partial Eukaryotic large subunit ribosomal RNA
Rfam family: Eukaryotic large subunit ribosomal RNA
Source: RNAcentral
UGCUGCAAAGCUACCAUCCGUAGGAUUAUGACUGAACGCCUCUAAGUCAGAAUCCAUGCUGGCAGGGUUGAUAACCCCCUUGACCACUGUUACCUGAGUAGCAAUAGUCUUGUAUCAACACCACCCCCUGGCAGCGCUGCACCUUAAAAGUGUAUGUAUGCCGAAAAAUAAUUUCCAAUGAUGGUCAAGUCAAAUCCUUUGUAGACGACUUAAUUAAGGAACGUGGUACUGUAAGCA